RNAcentral lists this ribosomal RNA (461 nucleotides) under uncultured bacterium. RNAcentral describes it as "bacterial SSU rRNA". It matches the Rfam family "Bacterial small subunit ribosomal RNA", at positions 33 to 507 of the family's 1533-position model. The record is from RNAcentral.
GACGACGCUGGCGGCGUGCCUAACACAUGCAAGUCGAACGAAGAAUGUUUUUCGGAAUAUUCUUAGUGGCGGACGGGUGAGUAACGCGUGAACAAUCUGCCCCGUACAAAGGGAUAGCCUCGGGAAACCGGGAUUAAAACCAUAUAACGCUUUAGUACCGCAUGGUAAUAAAGUCAAAUCGAUUAAGAGGUAUGGGAUGAGUUCGCGUCUGAUUAGCUAGUUGGUGAGGUAAGGGCUCACCAAGGCGACGAUCAGUAGCCGGCCUGAGAGGGUGAACGGCCACACUGGAACUGAGACACGGUCCAGACUCCUACGGGAGGCAGCAGUGGGGAAUAUUGCACAAUGGAGGGAACUCUGAUGCAGCGACGCCGCGUGAGUGAAGAAGGUCUUCGGAUCGUAAAACUCUGUCCUUGGUGAAGAAAAGGACGGUAGCCAAGGAGGAAGCCCCGGCUAACUACGUG